RNAcentral lists this ribosomal RNA (513 nucleotides) under uncultured bacterium. Its description in RNAcentral is "partial 16S ribosomal RNA". It matches the Rfam family "Bacterial small subunit ribosomal RNA", at positions 28 to 523 of the family's 1533-position model. The record is from RNAcentral.
GACGAACGCUGGCGGCGUGCCUAAUACAUGCAAGUUGAGCGCUGAAGGUUGGUACUUGUACCGACUGGAUGAGCAGCGAACGGGUGAGUAACGCGUGGGGAAUCUGCCUUUGAGCGGGGGACAACAUUUGGAAACGAAUGCUAAUACCGCAUAAAAACUUUAAACACAAGGUUUAAGUUUGAAAGAUGCAAUUGCAUCACUCAAAGAUGAUCCCGCGUUGUAUUAGCUAGUUGGUGAGGUAAAGGCUCACCAAGGCGAUGAUACAUAGCCGACCUGAGAGGGUGAUCGGCCACAUUGGGACUGAGACACGGCCCAAACUCCUACGGGAGGCAGCAGUAGGGAAUCUUCGGCAAUGGACGAAAGUCUGACCAAGCAACGCCGCGUGAGUGAAGAAGGUUUUCGGAUCGUAAAACUCUGUUGGUAGAGAAGAACGUUGGUGAGAGUGGAAAGCUCAUCAAGUGACGGUAACUACCCAGAAAGGGACGGCUAACUACGUGCCAGCCGCCGCAGUAA